UAAAAAAGCUGGGAUAUAAACAUAAGACCAGAAGACCCUGUGAAGCUUAAACUAAACUAUUAAAUCUAAUAAUAAAUCCUUUCGGUUGGGGCGACCUUGGAAACAAAAAGAACUUCCAAAUAUAUGACCUAAUAUCAUACCACUACAGGCCUACAAGCCUAAAUAUAGAUCCAGCUUACCAUUGCUGAAUAAUGAACCAAGUUACUCCAGGGAUAACAGCGCUAUCUUCUUCAAGAGCCCAUAUCAAAAAGAAGGUUUACGACCUCGAUGUUGGAUCAGGACAUCCUAUUGGUGCAGCCGCUAUUAAGGGUUCGUUUGUUCAACGAUUAAUAGUCCUACGUGAUCU
Molecule: ribosomal RNA, 346 nt
Filed under: Lycodryas granuliceps
Lineage: Eukaryota; Metazoa; Chordata; Lepidosauria; Squamata
Description: partial large subunit ribosomal RNA
Rfam family: Bacterial large subunit ribosomal RNA
Source: RNAcentral